AUGGAGAGUUUGAUCCUGGCUCAGGAUGAACGCUGGCGGCGUGCCUAACACAUGCAAGUCGAACGGGAAUCUUCGGAUUCUAGUGGCGGACGGGUGAGUAACGCGUAAGAAUCUAACUUCAGGACGGGGACAACAGUUGGAAACGACUGCUAAUACCCGAUGUGCCGCAAGGUGAAACCUAAUUGGCCUGAAGAAGAGCUUGCGUCUGAUUAGCUAGUUGGUGGGGUAAGAGCCUACCAAGGCGACGAUCAGUAGCUGGUCUGAGAGGAUGAGCAGCCACACUGGGACUGAGACACGGCCCAGACUCCUACGGGAGGCAGCAGUGGGGAAUUUUCCGCAAUGGGCGAAAGCCUGACGGAGCAACGCCGCGUGAGGGAGGAAGGUCUUUGGAUUGUAAACCUCUUUUCUCAAGGAAGAAGUUCUGACGGUACUUGAGGAAUCAGCCUCGGCUAACUCCGUGCCAGCAGCCGCGGUAAUACGGGGGAGGCAAGCGUUAUCCGGAAUUAUUGGGCGUAAAGCGUCCGCAGGUGGUCAGCCAAGUCUGCCGUCAAAUCAGGUUGCUUAACGACCUAAAGGCGGUGGAAACUGGCAGACUAGAGAGCAGUAGGGGUAG
This 613-nucleotide ribosomal RNA is filed under the name Microcystis aeruginosa. RNAcentral's name for it is "bacterial SSU rRNA". It matches the Rfam family "Bacterial small subunit ribosomal RNA", at positions 1 to 660 of the family's 1533-position model. The record is from RNAcentral. Lineage: Bacteria; Bacillati; Cyanobacteriota; Cyanophyceae; Chroococcales; Microcystaceae.